CUUUUCGUAUUUCUGUCAUUGAAAUCUUAAAAUAUAUAAGCAGAUAUAAGCUAUAUCCCUAGGCCACACCAAAAUGGCGUUUCUUCUUAGCUAUACGCCACGAACCACGAAGGGACGGUUCAGUGUACAGUGUUGUUAAAUAAUUUAUAUUAUUGUGGAAUCGUCAGUAUAUAUAUAUAUAUAUACUUCGUCAUAUUCAUUUGAAUUUAUUGGAAAUCAUAAUUGCGUUAUAAAAAAUGUCUGACAAAGGUUCAAAAUGUAAUCGACAAAGACGUACAAUAAGAAAGCCUAAAAAGUAUUGUACUACAGAUUCUGAUAAGCCAACGAAUAAGGAAAAGGCUAAAAAUAAAAUAUUAGAAGAAAUGACAACAGUAUUCAGAAAUUCUAAUUCUGAAGAAUCAGAUGAGGCAUCAAGUCAAUCAUCUGAUAAUGAAUCUAAUUUUUCUACUGACAGUGAGAACGAUGUUGAAAUGAAGAAAAGAUAUGAAAGAAAUGAACAAUUAACUCGGAAAAAAGAAGGAAAUCAAGACAAAUUAAUAAGACCAACUUCCAAAAAAGUAGAAAAUCAAGUUAAACCAGUCGGGCUUGACAAAAAAAAGGAAACAAAAAAACAACAUCGGAACAGCUACUUGAACAGCAUAGAAAUAAUAAUUUGAACUCACCUGGUUGUUCAACACAAACAUUACAAAAUAAUUAUGAUCAAAGAGAUGAUGUGAUAUGUUCCUCAAAUAAUCAUUCUAUUUACGAUUUCAACUCAGGGAUAAUUGCCGAAACAAGUACUGUUCAAAACAAUUCCCCACAAAUUAAAAUGUGGAAUAAAUCUACUCCAGCUGUUACUUCAAAUUAUAGCUAUUAUGACAGUUGGAACACUAAUGAUACUGCUUCAUCCACAUAUACACAAGGAUUACAUACCUCAGAACCCGCACCGGAUAAUUUUACACAUGGACAUAUUCCGCAAUUCUACAAUUCUCACAAUCAUAAUUAUGGUCAUAUAAGUUAUGAAAAUCCUGAAAAUGUCAAUUUAAAUAACUUAAAGACAUUGCAAGACUUGAGCGCAUCGCAAGAAAUAUUCUUCCAAAAAUUUCAGGAGAAAAUGCAUACGUUUUGCGAAACUCAGGAACAAAAUAUUUCGAACAAAAUUAACAAUAUGCAAAACUAUUUUGAUAAAAAAAUAGAUGAACUGAAAACCUACUUCAAUACAAAAUUAGAUAAUUUACAAGUAAACAAAAACGCAAAUAAUAACGAUGGAGCUUACCCAGUAUAUUCGCUUCCAGAAGGUUUUCCAUUAAAAAUAUGCAAGAAUUUGAAGAGUUCGAGGAAAAUAAGGAAAAGCAGGGAGAACUAAGAAAUUAUUUUAUUUGGUGGGGAAAUCCUAAUGCAAAAGUUGCUUUGAGACAGUACCUUAGAUAUUCUAUCUCAGAUGAACUUGCAUGCCAAUUUAAGUGGGCUAAAAAAAAUAAUAAGGAAAGUAAUGAUGAAGAACCGGAAAAUGCGGAAAAUGAACCUGCAUCACACAAGACAUUAUAUGACACACGGCUGAGUAAAAUGAUGUUCCAAGUAAUUAAUAAGUUUGAAAAAACUUCAAUAGAAAGUUUUAAUCAACUUAUGCAGGCUGCAUUAAGAGUUGCUAAGCAAAGACAUCGAGAUCGAGUUCGAAGAGAAAACCGAGAACGUAAUGGCCGACGAAAUCAUUUACAAGAUAUGAAUAAUUUAUACAGUAAUUAAAAUGAUCGAAGAUUAAUGAAGAUUGACAAAAACAAUUUAAAUUUUUACUUAUAGGUAUAAAGAUGAAAAUAUCGAUAUAUAGAUAUAAAGAUUUCAUGAUAUAAAUUCCUGCAUAUUAUAAGAGCUUUACUUUUGUUUAAAAUAUUUAGUGUUUCGAAUAGAAAACGUUUUCUCAUUCCAGUAAGUUGAUGUUUUAGGGCCCGGGCAGAGUGUAUAGUUAGAAAACAGUUAGAAAAAUAUUUUUUGUUCUCAAUACCUUUUUUGUUUUGAAUGCCUUUAAAUUACCAAAAGUUAUGUUUAAUAAUUAUAAUAAUAUAUAUACACUACAUACAUAUAUAUAUAU
Nylanderia fulva is the source of this 2068-nucleotide non-coding RNA. Lineage: Eukaryota; Metazoa; Arthropoda; Insecta; Hymenoptera; Formicidae. The record is from RefSeq and is a predicted model, not a curated record.